AAGAGAGGCGGGAAAACAGAGAAAAGAGACAGAGGAGAAGGUGACGCGGGAAGAGAAAGAUCAGAGAAGAGUUGCUGCUCGGAAGUUUGACGUGAAAGAAGAAGAAGACAGAAGAGAGCGGAACAGAAAUGGAGGUGCUGGCGCGCGAAAUCUGCUGGGGAAAGGCCCAAAAUGGGAGUUGGAACGGGCCAAGAGAAGGAGAGAACAGAAUCUAUAAGAGGAGGUGUUUGGCGAUUUGGAAAGUGGAAGAUCCGUUGGCAGAGUGAAAAAAAUAGAAGAAAAAAGAGAGAAGAGCAUAUUAGAGGGAGCAAGCCGAGGGAAAGGAGAUAAGUUUGGGGUGAGAUUGAGGGAAAGAGACUGAGAUUACAAGAAAGAGGGAGUAGAGAAAGGCAGUUUGGGAAGAUAGAGGAGGCAGGCAUUGGUUUUCGAAGGUUUGUGUGAGCAGACGGGGUUUUUGGAUUGGGGGAAUGCAGAACGAAGGAGAGGAGAAAGGUUUUUGAAUUAGGGUUUAGGGGAAAGUGUUGCCAGGUUUUUGGAACGAUUGAGGAAAUGGGAACCUUUUAUUGAGAAAAAUUCGGGGAACCUUAGAUUCAGAAGGAGAGUAAAGAACAGAGGCCGAGCAGGAGAAAGUCUUCACUUGUGGAAUCUGGGCUUCGAGUGAAUUGGCUAAACUCAGCAUAAGAAAAGGUCAAUGAAAUACAGAGUUUUGUUUGAACAUGGAACGAGUUUCAAUCUUCUCAUGAAAUCAAGAGGAUCAGAAGCUACUUUACAUGAUUUUCACCUUCCUAAUCUACGUUUGAAAUUAGUGCUCCAUCCUUCAGGAUGGACGACGGGGCCCAUGUCGGUGUAGAUGUAGACCACCUUAGGAGCGGCCAUCCAAGCCCUGCCCAGGGAGGUGCCCCUUCCAAAGAUGAAAUCAACAGUUCCUUCCACGUAGCAAUCCUUGAAGAAGUGGAAGCCUCUGUCGUCACACAGUGUGUCUUGGAAGCCGAUGAAUCUGCAGCUGUAGAAUGCAGCCCAGUUUCCGUCGAUCCUCGUUGCAAGAGCUUGUGGCCCUUUAGUUUUUGAAUAGUCCGGCCUUGGCGAAGAAUUCUGAAUCAACCAUUAUAUGUCGAGUUUAAGAAAUCAUGUAGUGGAGAAAAAAUAACUC
Non-coding RNA from Carica papaya (papaya), 1150 nucleotides. The record is from RefSeq and is a predicted model, not a curated record. Lineage: Eukaryota; Viridiplantae; Streptophyta; Magnoliopsida; Brassicales; Caricaceae.